This is a small nuclear RNA of 141 nucleotides. Its record names the gene U4. It matches the Rfam family "U4 spliceosomal RNA". Rfam says of the family: U4 small nuclear RNA (U4 snRNA) is a component of the major U2-dependent spliceosome. The structure of U4 snRNA from yeast and human has been reported. The record is from Ensembl.
AUUCUUUCGCAGAGGCAAUAUCAUAGCUUAUGAGGUUUAUCCGAAGCGUGAUCAUUGCUGGUUGAAAACUUUACCCAAUACCCCGCUUGGCUGACUUGAAAAAUAGUCAGCCAUGGCAAUUUUUGCUAGUCUCUCUAGAGA